UACGUAGGGGGCUAGCGUUGUCCGGAUUUAUUGGGCGUAAAGAGCGCGUAGGCGGCCGAGUAAGUCCGACGUGAAAUCUGGAGGCUCAACCUCCAGCGGUCGUUGGAAACUACUCGGCUAGAGUCCGGAAGAGGAGAGUGGAAUUCCUGGUGUAGCGGUGAAAUGCGCAGAUAUCAGGAAGAACACCGAUGGCGAAAGCAGCUCUCUGGGAGGGUACUGACGCUGAGGCGCGAAAGCGUGGGAGCGAACAGG
Molecule: ribosomal RNA, 252 nt
Filed under: uncultured bacterium
Lineage: Bacteria
Description: partial 16S ribosomal RNA
Rfam family: Bacterial small subunit ribosomal RNA
Source: RNAcentral